This 332-nucleotide unclassified non-coding RNA is filed under the name soil metagenome. RNAcentral describes it as "partial contains 5.8S ribosomal RNA, internal transcribed spacer 2, and large subunit ribosomal RNA". The stretch from base 1 to 120 matches the Rfam family "5.8S ribosomal RNA", at positions 35 to 154 of the family's 154-position model. The record is from RNAcentral.
GAUGAAGAACGCAGCGAAAUGCGAUAAGUAGUGUGAAUUGCAGAAUUCAGUGAAUCAUCGAAUCUUUGAACGCACAUUGCGCCCUUUGGUAUUCCUUAGGGCAUGCCUGUUCGAGCGUCAUUUAAACCUUCAAGCUCAGCUUGGUGUUGGGUGACUGUCCGCUUCACCGCGGACUCGCCUCAAAAUUAUUGGCGGCCGGUACAUUGGCUUCGAGCGCAGCAGAAACGCGAACUCGGGCCCGUCGUAUUGGCUCCCAGAAGCUAUCUUCACAAUUUUGACCUCGGAUCAGGUAGGGAUACCCGCUGAACUUAAGCAUCUCAAUAAGCGGAGGA